Molecule: non-coding RNA, 113 nt
Organism: Bordetella genomosp. 13
Lineage: Bacteria; Pseudomonadati; Pseudomonadota; Betaproteobacteria; Burkholderiales; Alcaligenaceae
Source: Rfam
CCUGACGACCAUAGCAAGGCGGUCCCACCCCUUCCCAUCCCGAACAGGACCGUGAAACGCCUUAGCGCCGAUGAUAGUGGAUGUACAUCUGUGAAAGUAGGUCAUCGUCAGGC